UACGUAGGGUGCGAGCGUUGUCCGGAAUUACUGGGCGUAAAGAGCUUGUAGGUGGUUUGUCGCGUUGUUCGUGAAAACUCACAGCUCAACUGUGGGCGUGCGGGCGAUACGGGCAGACUAGAGUACUGCAGGGGAGACUGGAAUUCCUGGUGUAGCGGUGGAAUGCGCAGAUAUCAGGAGGAACACCGGUGGCGAAGGCGGGUCUCUGGGCAGUAGCUGACGCUGAGAAGCGAAAGCGUGGGGAGCGAACAGG
This 253-nucleotide ribosomal RNA is filed under the name uncultured bacterium. Its description in RNAcentral is "partial 16S ribosomal RNA". It matches the Rfam family "Bacterial small subunit ribosomal RNA", at positions 524 to 776 of the family's 1533-position model. The record is from RNAcentral.